Molecule: non-coding RNA, 115 nt
Organism: Cordylochernes scorpioides
Lineage: Eukaryota; Metazoa; Arthropoda; Arachnida; Pseudoscorpiones; Chernetidae
Source: the annotation of a GenBank genome assembly
ACGGCCAUACCAUAUUGAAAACACGGGUUCUCGUCCGAUCGCCAAAGUUAAGCAAACUCGGGCCAGAUCAGUACUUGGGAGGGUGAUCAUUUGGGGACACUGGGUUCUGUAGGCU